CAGUCGCCGCGGUAAUACGUAGGUGGCGAGCGUUGUCCGGAAUUAUUGGGCGUAAAGGGAGCGCAGGCGGACAUAUAAGUCCAUCUUAAGAGUGCGGGGCUCAACCCCGUGAGGGGAUGGAAACUGUAUGCCUUGAGUGCAGGAGAGGAAAGCGGAAUUCCCAGUGUAGCGGUGAAAUGCGUAGAUAUUGGGAGGAACACCAGUGGCGAAGGCGGCUUUCUGGACUGCAACUGACGCUGAGGCUCGAAAGCCAGGGGAGCGAACGGGAUUAGAUACCCGCGUAGUCCCUGUCUCUUAUACC
RNAcentral lists this ribosomal RNA (301 nucleotides) under uncultured bacterium. RNAcentral describes it as "partial 16S ribosomal RNA". It matches the Rfam family "Bacterial small subunit ribosomal RNA", at positions 509 to 808 of the family's 1533-position model. The record is from RNAcentral.